RNAcentral lists this ribosomal RNA (253 nucleotides) under uncultured bacterium. Its description in RNAcentral is "partial 16S ribosomal RNA". It matches the Rfam family "Bacterial small subunit ribosomal RNA", at positions 524 to 776 of the family's 1533-position model. The record is from RNAcentral.
UACAGAGGUCCCAAGCGUUGUUCGGAAUCACUGGGCGUAAAGGGUGCGUAGGCGGGUCUUUAAGUCAGGGGUGAAAUCCUGGAGCUCAACUCCAGAACUGCCUUUGAUACUGAAGAUCUUGAGUUCGGGAGAGGUGAGUGGAACUGCGAGUGUAGAGGUGAAAUUCGUAGAUAUUCACAAGAACACCAGUGGCGAAGGCGGCUCACUGGCCCGAUACUGACGCUGAGGCACGAAAGCGUGGGGAGCAAACAGG